RNAcentral lists this ribosomal RNA (484 nucleotides) under uncultured bacterium. Its description in RNAcentral is "bacterial SSU rRNA". It matches the Rfam family "Bacterial small subunit ribosomal RNA", at positions 112 to 611 of the family's 1533-position model. The record is from RNAcentral.
AACGCGUAGGCAACCUGCCCCAUACAGAGGAAUAGCCAAGGGAAACUUUGAUUAAUGCCUCAUAAAACCAAGCUGACACAUGUCAAUUUGGUCAAAGAUUUAUCGGUAUGGGAUGGGCCUGCGUCUGAUUAGUUAGUUGGUGAGGUAACGGCUCACCAAGGCAGCGAUCAGUAGCCGACCUGAGAGGGUAACCGGCCACAUUGGAACUGAGACACGGUCCAAACUCCUACGGGAGGCAGCAGUGGGGAAUCUUGCACAAUGGGCGAAAGCCUGAUGCAGCAACGCCGCGUGAGCGAAGAAGGCCUUUGGGUCGUAAAGCUCUGUCCUUGGGGAAGAAACAAAUGACGGUACCCGAGGAGGAAGCCCCGGCUAACUACGUGCCAGCAGCCGCGGUAAUACGUAGGGGGCGAGCGUUAUCCGGAAUUAUUGGGCGUAAAGAGUGCGUAGGUGGCUUUGUAAGCGCGGGGUGAAAGGCAAUGGCUUA